This is a long non-coding RNA of Oncorhynchus tshawytscha (Chinook salmon), 1015 nucleotides long. Lineage: Eukaryota; Metazoa; Chordata; Actinopteri; Salmoniformes; Salmonidae. The record is from Ensembl.
CGAGACUGACAUUUUUUCCCAUUCCUCCUUGCAAAACAGCUCGAGCUCAGUGAGGUUGGAUGGAGAGCAUUUGUGAACAGCAGUUUUCAGUUCUUUCCACAGAUUCUCGAUUGGAUUCAGGUCUGGACUUUGACUUGGCCAUUCUAACACCUGGAUAUGUUUAUUUUUGAACCAUUCCAUUGUAGAUUUUGCUUUAUGUUUUGGAUCAUUGUCUUCUUGGAAGACAAAUCUCCGUCCCAGUCUCAGGUCUUUUGCAGACUCCAUCAGGUUUUCUUCCAGAAUGAUCCUGUAUUUGGCUCCAUCCAUCUUCCCAUCAAUUUUAACCAUCUUCCCUGUCCCUGCUGAAGAAAAGCAGGCCCAAACCAUGAUGCUGCCACCACCACAUGUUUGACAGUGGGGAUGGUGUGUUCAGGGUGAUGGGCUGUGUUGCUUUUACGCCAAACAUAACGUUUUGCAUUGUUGCCAAAAAGUUCAAUUUUGGUUUCAUCUGACCAAAAUCAAAUCAAAUCAAAUCAAAUUUAUUUAUAUAGCCCUUCGUACAUCAGCUGAUAUCUCAAAGUGCUGUACAGAAACCCAGCCUAAAACCCCAAACAGCAAGCAAUGCAGGUGUAGAAGCACGGUGGCUAGGAAAAACUCCCUACAAAGGCCAAAACCUAGGAAGAAACCUAGAGAGGAACCAGGCUAUGUGGGGUGGCCAGUCCUCUUCUGGCUGUGCAGGGUGGAGAUUAUAACAGAACAUGGCCAAGAUGUUCAAAUGUUCAUAAAUGACCAGCAUGGUCGAAUAAUAAUAAGGCAGAACAGUUGAAACUGGAGCAGCAGCAUGGCCAGGUGGACUGGGGACAGCAAGGAGUCAUCAUGUCAAGUAGUCCUGGGGCAUGGUCCUAGGGCUCAGGUCCUCCGAGAGAGAGAAAGAAAGAGAGAAGGAGAGAAUUAGAGAACGCACACUUAGAUUCACACAGGACACCGAAUAGGACAGGAGAAGUACUCCAGAUAUAACAAACUGAUCCCAGCCCCC